GACGAACGCUGGCGGCGUGCCUAAUACAUGCAAGUUGAGCGCUGAAGGUUGGUACUUGUACCAACUGGAUGAGCAGCGAACGGGUGAGUAACGCGUGGGGAAUCUGCCUUUGAGCGGGGGACAACAUUUGGAAACGAAUGCUAAUACCGCAUAAAAACUUUAAACACAAGUUUUAAGUUUGAAAGAUGCAAUUGCAUCACUCAAAGAUGAUCCCGCGUUGUAUUAGCUAGUUGGUGAGGUAAAGGCCCACCAAGGCGAAGAUACAUAGCCGACCUGGGGGGGGUGUCGGCCCCAUCGGGACUGAGAACCGGCCCCAACUCCUACGGGAGGCAGCCGUAGGGGAACUUCGGCCAUGGGCGAAAGUCUGACCGGGCAACGCCGCGUGAGUGAAGAAGGUUUUCGGGUCGUAAAACUCCGUUGGUAGAGAAGAACGUUGGUGAGAGUGGAAAGCUCAUCAAGUGACGGUAACUACCCAGAAAGGGACGGCUAACUACGUG
Molecule: ribosomal RNA, 497 nt
Filed under: uncultured bacterium
Lineage: Bacteria
Description: partial 16S ribosomal RNA
Rfam family: Bacterial small subunit ribosomal RNA
Source: RNAcentral